Molecule: ribosomal RNA, 428 nt
Filed under: Chloroflexota bacterium
Lineage: Bacteria; Bacillati; Chloroflexota
Description: Chloroflexi bacterium partial 16S ribosomal RNA
Rfam family: Bacterial small subunit ribosomal RNA
Source: RNAcentral
UGGGGAAUAUUGCACAAUGGGCGCAAGCCUGAUGCAGCCAUGCCGCGUGUAUGAAGAUGCCUUCGGGUUGUAAAGUACUUUCAGUCGGGAGGAAGGUGGUAAGGUUAAUAACCUUGGCAAUUGACGUUACCGACAGAAGAAGCACCGGCUAACUCCGUGCCAGCAGCCGCGGUAAUACGGAGGGUGCAAGCGUUAAUCGGAAUUACUGGGCGUAAAGCGCACGCAGGCGGUUGAUUGAGUCAGAUGUGAAAUCCCCGGGCUUAACCCGGGAAUUGCAUCUGAUACUGGUCAGCUAGAGUCUUGUAGAGGGGGGUAGAAUUCCAUGUGUAGCGGUGAAAUGCGUAGAGAUGUGGAGGAAUACCGGUGGCGAAGGCGGCCCCCUGGACAAAGACUGACGCUCAGGUGCGAAAGCGUGGGGAGCAAACAGG